AGCAGUGGGGAAUAUUGCACAAUGGGGGAAACCCUGAUGCAGCGACGCCGCGUGAGUGAAGAAGUAUUUCGGUAUGUAAAGCUCUAUCAGCAGGGAAGAAAAUGACGGUACCUGACUAAGAAGCCCCGGCUAACUACGUGCCAGCAGCCGCGGUAAUACGUAGGGGGCAAGCGUUAUCCGGAUUUACUGGGUGUAAAGGGAGCGUAGACGGAAGGCCAAGUCUGAUGUGAAAGCCCGGGGCUCAACGCCGGGACUGCAUUGGAAACUGGUCAUCUGGAGUGCAGGAGAGGUAAGCGGAAUUCCUAGUGUAGCGGUGAAAUGCGUAGAUAUUAGGAGGAACACCGGUGGCGAAGGCGGCUUACUGGACUGUAACUGACGUUGAGGCUCGAAAGCGUGGGGAGCAAACAGGAUUAGAUACCCUGGU
Molecule: ribosomal RNA, 424 nt
Filed under: Stenotrophomonas sp. SAM-B
Lineage: Bacteria; Pseudomonadati; Pseudomonadota; Gammaproteobacteria; Lysobacterales; Lysobacteraceae
Description: bacterial SSU rRNA
Rfam family: Bacterial small subunit ribosomal RNA
Source: RNAcentral